AAAGGGCGACGACCUGUAUCCAGUCAGGAGCUUUUCACAGGUGCUGCAUGGCUGUCGUCAGCUCGUGCCGUGAGGUGUUGGGUUAAGUCCCCGCAACGAGCGCAACCCUCGUGCUAUGUUGAUUUCUCAUAGCCAGACUGCCUUGUACAGCAAGGAGGAAGGUGGGGAUGACGUCAAGUCAGCAUGGCCUUUAUGCCCUGGGCUACACACACGCUACAAUGGGUGGGAACAGAGGGUUGCCACGAAGCAAUUCGGAGCGAAUCCCUUAAAACCAUCCUCAGUUCGGAUUGCAGGCUGCAAUCGCCUGCAUGAAGCCGGAGCUGCUAGUAACCGCAGGUCAGCUAUACUGCGGUGAACUACGUUCUCGGGCCUU
This 373-nucleotide ribosomal RNA is filed under the name uncultured Chloroflexota bacterium. Its description in RNAcentral is "bacterial SSU rRNA". It matches the Rfam family "Bacterial small subunit ribosomal RNA", at positions 1004 to 1382 of the family's 1533-position model. The record is from RNAcentral. Lineage: Bacteria; Bacillati; Chloroflexota.